Octopus sinensis (East Asian common octopus) is the source of this 244-nucleotide long non-coding RNA. RefSeq lists it as uncharacterized. The record is from RefSeq and is a predicted model, not a curated record. Lineage: Eukaryota; Metazoa; Mollusca; Cephalopoda; Octopoda; Octopodidae. The transcript is spliced from 3 exons.
AGAAAUGUUAGGGAGUAAAGUGGGUCCAUGUAGUGUAUGUGGGAGGAGGGUAAUGGCAAAUGCGGUGUUGUGUACGAGAUGUGAGAAAUGGAUUCAUGGUAGAUGUAUGAAAAUGAAGGUGACCCCAAGACUGGCAAGUGAAUUUGUUUGUGGAAGAUGUGAGAAAGGAGUUGGAGAGCUGGUGGAACCAGUGGAAAUGGUGAACGGGUUUUGUUAUUUGGGAGAAAGGGUGGAUGGAAGUGGU